This 808-nucleotide long non-coding RNA is filed under the name Olea europaea subsp. europaea. Lineage: Eukaryota; Viridiplantae; Streptophyta; Magnoliopsida; Lamiales; Oleaceae. The record is from RNAcentral.
CUUUCAAAAACCCUCUCUUCGAGGGGAGGGGGGGGUGGGAAGUUGAGUGAAGAUUAGCUCUUGAGCUCUGAUUAACUCUUAGACUUUACUCUUAACCCUAUUGAACCAAUCGAAAAUAUUGAAUCAAUCAUCUCUCAUGAUUCUAACAUGCCAUCUACAAGGGAAACUUAAACUUGGGGGAGAUUCCGUAAAGCAAGUUAAUAAGGAGAUAUCAGUUUAUUCAAGGAGGCCAAAAUUAACAUACAAAGAGAACCUUACACUUGAAGCACCAAGAGAGUUGGACUCGACGAUAGCUCCAAAUCCAAAUGGAACUCCUUCAUAUAAUAAGCUCUCAGAAAAUGAACUAUCCAUCGCUCUCUAAAGAUAGUCUCGGUUAUGUAAUUUUCAUCCCAUCUCAAAAUUUGUCUCCUAUACCAACCAAUCUGCAAGAUUUCACACAAUUUCUCUUAUAGCCUCGAUAGUACUAAAAUUCCAAAGAGUAUUCUGGAGGCGAUGACUAUUCCAAAAUGGAAAGAAGCUGUUCUAGAAGAAAUGAAAGCAUUGGAAAAAAAAAUAAAACUUGGGAUGUGGUAGAGUUACCAAGAGAAAAAAAAAACUUGUUGGGUGCAAAUGAGUUUUUAAUGUAAAGUACAAAGUUAAUGGGACAAUAGAACGCUAUAAAGCUCGACUUGUGGCAAAAUGAUAUGGGCAUACUUAUGGCAUUGAUUACACAUAAACUUUUGCUCCCGUAGCAAAAAUGAACACUAUCCCGGUUAUCUUAUCCCUAGCAGUAAACUUGAAUUGCCCUCUCCAGCAGUUUGACAUUAAG